RNAcentral lists this long non-coding RNA (1646 nucleotides) under Marmota monax (woodchuck). The record is from RNAcentral. Lineage: Eukaryota; Metazoa; Chordata; Mammalia; Rodentia; Sciuridae.
CCCAGCCCCAGCCCCUCCAGUCAAUAUUUUUUAGAGCCCACUAUAUGUUAGACUCUAUACUGGGUACUGGGGAUAUAAAGUUGAAUAAAAUAGUCUCUGUUUUUCAAGGAUCCUAGACUUUAGAAGGGAGAUAGACAGGAAUCUGGCAACUGCAAUUCAGGAUAAGUACCAGGGUAGGAGUAUGCAUAGAAUAUCAUGAGAAGGAGACAGACCUGGGGUGGGCUGGGGAAUCUAGGAAUGUGUCAGCAAAGGAAAGUUGUUAUGACUGAGAUCUGAAGAUUAAGAUGGAGUUUGCCAAGUGCAAGGUGAGAGAGGUGCUGUCUCAUUCUAGUCAUUGAGAAACCAUUCUCUGCUGCUGCUAGAAAUUAUGGGAGUGGGUUUUAUUGGUUGAGUAGAGAGUGGAUUUUCAAGAUGGGGCUGAAGAGGCUGGAGUAAGAAAAGCCUUGAAACUAUGCAGGGAACUGGGAUCUGCUUCAAGGGCAAGAAGGAGCUACUAAUUAUUUUAGAGGAGGGGAGAGAUAGGAUCCAUCUUAGGAAUUUCAUCCUGACUAUAGUAUAGAGAAGAAUGGAUCCAAGGGGACUACUAAGUUCAUCCAGAUGAGAGAUGCUGGUGGUCUUCAUGAGGACAGUGGCAUGGGGAUGAAAAAGGUUGAUAACAUGUAACAUAUUUUUCAGUGUGAGUCUAGAAUAUAUUUUUGUACUCUCAUCCUCCAUUAUUCCCAGUCACCCCCACUUGAACACUAUGCUCCACCUUGCUGGUCUUUAGUAAUGUUAGCUCUUCAGUAGUGUCGGCCAUCUUGGUUUUCUUUUUCUUCUUUUAUUGUCUUCUGUAUUUGGUCCACUCUAGUCUUCUUUCAAGACCCAUCUUCUCUCUAUCUCUCCUGAUUUUCUCAGGGAAUAUUACUGUUCUUUCCUUAAUAUAUCGAUUGAUCUUUACCCUCUCUUCCACUAUUGUCCAGGCCUGGGCUUCUGUUGUAACUCUAGAUCCAUUCUCUCUUCCCUCCCACUUUGCUUGCCUGAAUGAAUCAGAUCAACCCAAAAAGGGUAUCAGUGGAUUCUUGUGAAGCUCUGGCUUCUGGUUGGGUUUGGCCAUUGUCAGGAUAAUGGAGGGACUAAUGAAAGUAAUUUGGGGGAGCUUAUUCCUCUAUCCUGUGGGGUUUCUGGAAUUGUUCCUACAACAAAGGUUACAUUAAUAGAUGUGCUGGUAUUUGUAAAUGAUCCUCUUAGGGGUUGGGGAAGUUCUGAUUUGUAGUGUUUGCCAAUUUCUGAGGUGUAAGUCUUUUAUCAUAACCAAUUUUAAGCUGUCAGUAUGAUGUCACCCAAAGUGGAGCGUGGAGGAGAUGCACAGUGUGCUCUCUCAAGCUGGCCUGAGGCAGCUGCAGCACAACACUCUUCCAUUCUUUCCUUCUAGAUGCUUGUACUGUUUCUUCCCCUAGCUCUUCUGGUCUGUCUGUGCCACACUGUUUUCAGCUCUAGGACACUGCAGUGUUUCCUGUGGUUUUCCUCAAUACUUACACCUUUGUAAAUAGUCCUUUUAUUAGAUCCUUCUCAAAUUAUCCAAUUUGAGGUACCAUAUGUUUCCUGGUGAGAUACUAAUUGUUUCACCAAGCCAUACUAUGAGGAAAUUAGUCAUUUAGAAAUCUUUU